RNAcentral lists this ribosomal RNA (481 nucleotides) under uncultured Oscillospiraceae bacterium. RNAcentral describes it as "bacterial SSU rRNA". It matches the Rfam family "Bacterial small subunit ribosomal RNA", at positions 8 to 507 of the family's 1533-position model. The record is from RNAcentral. Lineage: Bacteria; Bacillati; Bacillota; Clostridia; Eubacteriales; Oscillospiraceae.
AGAGUUUGAUCCUGGCUCAGGACGACGCUGGCGGCACGCCUAACACAUGCAAGUCGAACGGAGUGAAGAUGCUUGCAUCUGAACUUAGUGGCGGACGGGUGAGUAACACGUGAGCAACCUGCCUUUCAGAGGGGGAUAACGUUUGGAAACGAACGCUAAUACCGCAUAAAUAUCGGAGUCGCAUGGCACUGAUAUCAAAGGAGCAAUCCGCUGAAAGAUGGGCUCGCGUCCGAUUAGGCAGUUGGCGGGGUAACGGCCCACCAAACCGACAAUCGGUAGCCGGACUGAGAGGUUGAACGGCCACAUUGGGACUGAGACACGGCCCAGACUCCUACGGGAGGCAGCAGUGGGGAUAUUGCACAAUGGGGGAAACCCUGAUGCAGCGAUGCCGCGUGAAUGAAGACGGCCUUCGGGUUGUAAAGUUCUGUCGCAGGGGACGAAAAUGACGGUACCCUGCAAGAAAGCUCCGGCUAACUACGUG